RNAcentral lists this ribosomal RNA (253 nucleotides) under uncultured bacterium. RNAcentral describes it as "partial 16S ribosomal RNA". It matches the Rfam family "Bacterial small subunit ribosomal RNA", at positions 524 to 776 of the family's 1533-position model. The record is from RNAcentral.
CACAGAGGGUGCAAGCGUUGUCCGGAAUCACUGGGCGUAAAGGGCGCGUAGGCGGCCUGAUAAGUCGAGUGUGAAAGCCCCCGGCUCAACUGGGGAGGGUCACUCGAUACUGAUCGACUCGAAGGCAGGAGAGGGAAGUGGAAUUCCCGGUGUAGUGGUGAAAUGCGUAGAUAUCGGGAGGAACACCAGUGGCGAAGGCGACUUCCUGGCCUGUUCUUGACGCUGAGGCGCGAAAGCUAGGGGAGCAAACGGG